Molecule: microRNA precursor, 189 nt
Filed under: Oryza brachyantha (malo sina)
Lineage: Eukaryota; Viridiplantae; Streptophyta; Magnoliopsida; Poales; Poaceae
Description: MIR812 microRNA precursor family
Rfam family: MIR812 microRNA precursor family
Source: Rfam by way of RNAcentral
AACAAAUCAACUUUUUAGUUUUUAGAGACAAUAUUUAACUCUUCGUCUUAUUAAAAAAAAUUACGAUUAAUAAUUUUAUUUUUAUUAGAUGAUAAAAUAUAAACAGUACUUUAUGUGCGACUAAUUUUUUUAAAAUUUCUUGAAAAUUUUUUAAAUAAGAUGGAUGGUCAAAUGCUCGACACAAAAACC